UUGCCGUCGCUAAUUUCAGUC
RNAcentral lists this non-coding RNA (21 nucleotides) under Arabidopsis thaliana (thale cress). The record is from RNAcentral. Lineage: Eukaryota; Viridiplantae; Streptophyta; Magnoliopsida; Brassicales; Brassicaceae.